Molecule: non-coding RNA, 4468 nt
Organism: Rattus norvegicus (Norway rat)
Lineage: Eukaryota; Metazoa; Chordata; Mammalia; Rodentia; Muridae
Source: RefSeq, a predicted model, not a curated record
GAAGCUCUCAUACUCCUCCUCAGAGUAGUUAUCUGUGGAAUGAGCACACAGAAGGGAGAGUGCCUUUAGAUUCCACCCGAUGCCAUGGCAAUGAGUUGGCAACAGAACCACAGGUGUCCCGUGGGAGCAGAGGAAGCUAUCGGGAGACAGACCCACAUACACCAAGGGAACUUGAGACAGCAGAGCUGUGCCUCAUGGUUCUGCCCAGGAAACGGAAGUGGAAGACCAAGAACAGCUCCUGCCAGAGGAAGCCACCAAAGCACAGCACAGCACAGCACAGCACAGCCCACCGACGGCUUCUGAAGGCCAGGGCACAGGUAUGGUAUGUGGGGUCAACAAGAUAGGCCAUUUAAAAAAGAUACUGCCACAGGGACAGGAAGAGGCGGAGACGCUGACGACAGAGUCACUGUGCAGGUGAUACAGGACAGUCUGGCCCAGAGCCAAGCUGGUGGAGACUUGCCUGCCUGCUUAGAUGCCAAGAAUCCACAGCACAUCAAGGAAGAGUGGUCUCCCAGACCUUUACCAUAAACAGGCCAGGCCUCCUUGAACUCCAACCACACAUCUCAGGGCAAAAUGGGAGGGUCCAGCAUGGAUGGGAGGGUUCUGUGUGACAGAGGGGACCCUGAAUGGCAGAGGAAAGCCUUGCCCAGUGCUAAGGCUUAGCACACAAUUACAACAGGUCAAUGGUGUGUCCAAUACCAUAGGCAGUAUGGGGGGGGGGGAGUGUCGGAUGUGGGUUACCUCAGCAGGGCCCAGGUACUCCUGGCACAGGGUCAGGGGUAAGUAAUAAACACUUGUCCCCUUUACCCAGGCACACACAGGCCUUGUAUGAGGCUGCCUGCCACCUGCCCUGCAUAUGCCCCCCACCUGUGAAGGUCAUCCACAGAGGGGCGCCCCGAGCUGCAUCUGAGCAGCCAGGAGUCAAAACCCACAUCCUGUCCUGAGAGCUGACCUGUAACCGGGCAGUUCUCAACACAGCAGAGGCAGCCCAAAGGGAGGACCAGGGAUGCUCUGCCCAAGAAGGGUGGGAUCCAAGCUCAUCCCAUCACAGGAUCUCCAAAGAACAGGGCAAAACACUGGAGCAGGUUCUACUCCAGAGAGCCCCAUGUCCUGUCUCUUCUUGUUCCUACUCAAGCCUAUUACCCUGGGGGAGGCAUGAAAAAGGCCCUGGGUAGUGGCUCAGUGGUGAGGGUCUUCGAGAAUGGUUCAGGGACCGAGUGAGAAGUGAGCUGGCCACACCUGUGUGUGUGCAGUGAGAGUUACCUGCAUCUUGACAGCAAUCACCACGGACAAGAGUUCCUUUUCCAGUUCCCGGAGCACUGCCAGCUUCUUCAGGGUCAGGCUACACAACCUGCAAGACACAGGGCUCAGACUGUAGCAUACUUCCCAGGUCCACUGCCCAGGUACCUAGAAACCCGCAAAGACACCAGACACUCUGGGUGUCCCUAUGAGAGGCACCAACCAGAGAAGAGACAAAAGAAAGCUGCUCAUGUGACACUGAAGAGCAGGAGGCUCCCAAAGGCCAGGGCGCUGACACCAACACAGCAGUGCAGUUUUUAGCUAUGGGAAGAUGGCCUCCCAGCAGGUCUGGCUGCCCCCAUCCCAUGCUGCCACCUCCAUGAAGCAGGCAGCUUCGCCUCAACAUUCUGCUCUAAGGUCUUUGAGGUAAUGGAGACACAUUCUGCCUACUGAGAAGCAGCUCCUGACGGGCCACCAGGGUCACCAGUGGGCUCUGUGCACAGCUCUGUGUGUCACAACAUCCCUCUGGGACGGCUGGUACACAUCGAAAACGUAAGCGUCUCUUUCUGGAAUUUAUUUAUGUAAUACUUUCAUACCAGAGCAAAACUUGGAGAAGGGGGCUGGAGAGACAGCUCAGCGGUUAAGGGAACUGACUGCUCUUCCAGAGGUCCUGAGUUCAAUUCCCAGCAACCACAUGGUGGCUCACAACCAUCUGUGAUGGGAUCUGAUGCCCUCUUCUGGUGUGUCGGAAGACAGUGACAGUGUGCUCAGAUACAAUACAUAAAUAUUAAGUAAAUAAAUAAAUAAACUUGGAGAAGUACGGGAAUGAAGCCACAGUUGAGGUGCGGCUACCGAGACACCACGACUAGAAAACACAGUUAGCUGGCAAAUGCACCUACGGAAACAGACUUUCUCAAAGGAAACUCGAAAGCCUUAGGAAUGGAACAAUACAAAGACAGUAUGUCAGGAUUGGUGUGGGCAUUAGUGUUUCAGUGGAAAGAUUCCCACUGAACGGGCUAAGCUGCAUAAAACAAUAAGAAACCAGAAGAGGGAGAGUGUAAACUGAACGCCAACAAAGCAUCAGGAGACAACAGAGAUCCACUCAGAAAUAACUUGAAAUAGAGACAAUAAAAACCAGAUGUUACUCUUUUGCAAAGACAGAAAAUUCAUAAAACCUCCAGCCAAACAAAGAUUAAAAAAGAGAGAGAGAAAAUUCUCUUUAUCAGAAUAAAAGAGCACUAAAGACCUUGGAUACCGCCCCACAAACAGAUAAAAUGUAACAACUCUUACUGCCCUCAGCCUCCCAAGCCUAACGAGCUGAAACUGAUAACAGAGCAGGGCUGUAUAUUAAGUCAAGUUAAUGAGGCACAAAUGAUCUGAAGAAGAAAAUCCAGCAAACUCAGAGGCAUGGAGUACAGCUUGCUGAGCACGCACGCCUGACACCCAGGACUCCAUCCCCAGCUCAGGGCAGAGGGAAAAACCCACAUCCACAUAACCUUCCAGAAAGCAGAAGAGAAAGGGCUGCCUCAGCUCAUGGGAUUAGCAUCGCCUCUUUCUAUCAACACUGACAGAAACAGCACCAAAAAGAAAUCCACAAAAACUGGGUGUGGUGACUGGCAUUCGCCCACAGUACCAGCACUCAGGGGGCCGAGAUAAGAUGACCUGGGCCAGCCUGGGCUAUUCAGCCAGACCUUGUUAAAAGAAGAUAGAAGAUGAGGUGCAGGACAGAGGUGAGAAGAGAAGGGGACGCACACUAGAGACCAGGGUCUGUCAUGAGCACAGAGGCAAAGCUCUCCCACUGGUUUUGCAAGCUAAAUCUAGCAAGACACAAAGACACUCAUUAAUACACACAGCCAGUGGGGAUGCUCAGGAAUGAAAUGCUGGUUCAGCAUCUGGAAAUCAUUUAAUUUACCAUAUCAAUAAGCUAAAUGAGAAAAGAACAUUUGUACCCUCAAUUUGGUUCCGUUUCCUCAGGGGACCAUGUAUUUCAGGCUUAGUGCCUAUUGAGUAGUAGAGGCUUUAGGAGGAGGCCCCAGUGGAGGACUGUGGCCCGCAGACCCUCCCUAGGUUUGUUUUGGUUGUGCUGCCGACUGUCAGGUGUGCGGCUGUCAUUACACCCAUGUUGCCAUCAUGAUGUCGCACUGCGCCACAGACUGAAAGCAAUCCCUGUAACGCUGAGCCCUCGGGCUGAUUCUUUGACUGUUAGCUAGCCUACAACUGACACAGGAAGCUGGCAGCAAGUGCGGUUGCUAUGGCGACAACUGAGCAUGUGUGCAGCCUCUUGGACUGCGCAGGAGGAAGGUGGUAGUCUGCAGGAGCUCACCAGGCAGUUCUGACAUUCAUGCUAGACCUCUCAGCAAGACAGGAAGAGAAGGAAUCCCUCGGUCUGCACCUGUCAUGGGAGUAGCGGAAACUCGUGGAGACUUGUUUCCCUAAAGACAGGAUGGGGGCUGGCUUGACUGCUCUCACCCCUGUGCCUCACGUGGCCCUGCCUUGCCCAGGUGGACAGGCAAAGCAAGGUAACCAAAGACAUGGGGUCAGGGAAGGGAGAAGCAAACCAACAUUGUCUACAGAUACCAGGAUUGUGCAUAGAGAAAUCUGAGGAAUGCAGAAGAGUCAAGACAAGCUCCCACAGACCAGGUUGCCUAUAAAGAGCAACUGUGAACCACAUCCGCUCAAAUGACCUCCAAACAGAGAAACUGUAUCUAAAGUAAAUGCAGGCUAGAACUCCAGUGCUCAGCUGGCCAGGAAAGUGCUCACUGCACAAGCCCAGCACCCUGCGUUUGACCUGGGACACACACAAAAGAGGCAGGAGGAACCGGCUUCAUGAAACUGUCCUCUGACCCCCACUCACGCAUCUGCCCCCAUCACCUAUGCAAACACACACAACAAUAAGCACGUGAGUUUAAAGGGAGCUCUAAUGCUGAUGGAGGAGCUCACAACAGAAGGAAGCGGAGAGCCAGGCUGCGGACUGCGUGCCAAUUCUCCCCAAACUAGCCUAUCAGUUUAGUACUACCCCAGUAGAAUCACAAGAACGGUGUGUGGCUCUGUCAACGUGCUGACUUUACCCCUCCCACGAGAAGAAAGGAAAACAGAGCCUACAGGAAAACAGGCUUCCUCACCCUGACCCCAAGAGCUGCUCAUGUGCGGCCCAUAGCAAGGGAAGCAGGGAUGAAUGACCAGAGAAAGUAAAAUCGGACUCCACCAAAAUGGAAGGCUCUGGCUGGAA